Molecule: long non-coding RNA, 454 nt
Filed under: Zostera marina
Lineage: Eukaryota; Viridiplantae; Streptophyta; Magnoliopsida; Alismatales; Zosteraceae
Description: long non-coding RNA (ZMAR_LNC002507)
Source: RNAcentral
UUCAAUGUAAUGUAUCGCCCCCCUUUCUAGGAUACCUCCCGGUGGACCUGAGAUGUUCCUGGGCUGCUUUGAGGUUUCGUCGAUGGUGGAUUUAGGGAUGCUCUGAGGCUGCUUUGGCGGGUCAGGGGUAUCAUCAGUGCUUAGUCUGAUAAGUCUAGUCCAUUAAUGUUCCUGUUAUUAUGCUUCAAAAAUCCUCUUCUGUCCUUUGAUGGUGUAAGUGCUUAGUUGACACGACUUCCUCUUAACACUUGCACACAACACUCUAUUCUGGUAGAACAACACUAAGUAGCAAAAGAUCUUUUCCCCUACAUAUUUGAAAGGUACUUCUAUGGGUCGGACCGUGGUGGCUCGUGGACCUGACUGGUUUCCAACCCAUGCCAGCUUGUCUAGACCUGGGUACCAUCACCCUUCCAAUCUUUUUCUUUAUAUAGUCAAUAUUCUCGACUGAUAAAUA